AUGGGGUCUCUGAUGGCCGGCUGGGAUUCGCCGGUUCUUGGCCAUGACACCAAAGCUCGUGUGAUGAGGAACCGGUCCCUGACGAAGGAGGAGGUGGAGGCCUUCUGGCGGCAGCGCAGGAAGCCGGCGCCGGAGGACGUCACCUCGCCGCUCAGCUCCCCUGGUCGACCUAUGGAGAAGAGCCCGCUGGGAAGCUCGCAGACGCAGAGGAGCAGGUCACCGGCGUCGUCUCCGGUGGCUGGCGGCCACGAGGAGAUCGACGCCGCCGACGCCGGCAAGAGCCGGGACUGGUGGACGAGGAGCAACUGGGCCUUCCUCAACGAACCGCCGCAGGAGGAGAGGCCGGGCACGGCGCACACCUACACGCCGCAGUUCCACGUCGCCGCCGGCAACGUCUGA
RNAcentral lists this ribosomal RNA (399 nucleotides) under Triticum aestivum (bread wheat). Its description in RNAcentral is "partial small subunit ribosomal RNA". Lineage: Eukaryota; Viridiplantae; Streptophyta; Magnoliopsida; Poales; Poaceae. The record is from RNAcentral.